This 108-nucleotide ribosomal RNA is filed under the name Escherichia coli. RNAcentral's name for it is "partial 23S ribosomal RNA". The stretch from base 1 to 97 matches the Rfam family "Bacterial large subunit ribosomal RNA", at positions 2828 to 2925 of the family's 2925-position model. Lineage: Bacteria; Pseudomonadati; Pseudomonadota; Gammaproteobacteria; Enterobacterales; Enterobacteriaceae. The record is from RNAcentral.
GAAGGAACGUUGAAGACGACGACGUUGAUAGGCCGGGUGUGUAAGCGCAGCGAUGCGUUGAGCUAACCGGUACUAAUGAACCGUGAGGCUUAACCUGAAACGCCGUAG